RNAcentral lists this unclassified non-coding RNA (2445 nucleotides) under Nilaparvata lugens (brown planthopper). RNAcentral's name for it is "uncharacterized aarF domain-containing protein kinase 5, transcript variant X5". Lineage: Eukaryota; Metazoa; Arthropoda; Insecta; Hemiptera; Delphacidae. The record is from RNAcentral.
AUUCUAGGUUAGGUGAAAGUUUGAAGUUUCAAUAUGGGAUACUGCAACACGUGAUAAAGUGAAUCUAUCAAAAGUGUCAAAGUGUGGAUAAAUGAAUGUUUUGAAGUGUUUACCAUGUUAUAAAGCUAUAAUAAAGUGUAAAGGAUAAACGUUUUCACUCGCCAGUUGUGACUCAGUUUUGAAGCUGUGACUACAGGUUCUGAACAUCCAUCCUUGAUAACUGAUUACUGCAACGACAUUCUACUAUUUAAUCCAAUGGAACAUAAUAUACAAUAAAAUACUAUUCAAGACAAUCGCUUACAGCAGUAGCAGAAGGUGAAAUAGUCAUCACUUGGAUUAAAACACUGUCACCACAUGAAUCUUGAAGGCAAGCCGCACCUUGGUCAUCCUUGAGCUUAGGGUAGUUCAGAGGUCGAAAGCCCUCUAUCCUCUCCCACUUGCUGAAGCUCAACCCAAAAAAAAGAUCAGGGUGAUGCAGCCCAACCUCCAAGUCAGGCUGCAAAUUUGACAAUUUUUGCAUCUUACACAAGCAUGGGAUGUUUUCGUAUAGUGCAUAGACAGUUCAGCUCGUUGAGUCGUUCGAGAGAGGUAGCUAAACAGUCGCCACCAAGAUCAUGGAGGAAGCUGGCAGCAUCUGUGGCAGUUAUAGGUUGUGGCUCGACCGCCUACUACCAAACGCUCACCAAUCAGGAGAGACGUGUACUGAAAGUGACGGCUGGCGGUGUUGUCAGAUUCAUUAGGUCUUCGUGUGUAGGUGUGGCGAUUUCGGCCGACUACUGGUGGUCGCUGAGAGGCCUGGACGAGGGCUGCUCAGAGUACGACGAUGUGAUUGCCGAAGUCCAUCAGCGGUCAGCUGAUCGCAUGUUGGCGGGGUGUCUCGCCAACGGUGGCCUCUACAUCAAGCUCGGCCAGGGCAUUGUCUCCAUGGACCAUGUUCUGCCCAAACAGUACACCACCACGCUCAAGGCGUUGCAGGACAGGUGUCUGACUCGAGAGAAAGGCGAGGUGGAACAACUGUUUGCUGAGGACUUUGGAAAAUCAACGAGUGACGUGUUCUCAGAAUUUGAAGAGACUCCAAUUGCCGCUGCAAGCUUAGCGCAGGUAUACAAGGCGAAAACGAAAGAAGGUAAGAGUGUAGCCGUAAAAGUGCAAUACAUCGACCUGCAGGACAGGUUCACAGGAGACAUCAGAACAUGCCAGCUACUAUUGAGAGUGGCUGGAAAAGUAUUUCCAAAGUUUGACUUUGAAUGGGUUCUAAUGGAACUCAAGGAUACAUUAGAACAGGAACUAGAUUUCCUCAAUGAGGGAAAAAAUUCAGAACGUUGUGCCAAAGAUUUGAAGCAUUUCAAUUUUGUCUAUGUGCCUACUGUUUUUUGGGACUUAUCUACAAAGAGAGUAUUAACAACAGAAUUCAUUGACGCUAUCAAAAUAAACGAUAAAGAGGGUCUGUUGAAAAUGGGUCUAUCGUUAGCUGAUGUGGAUGGCAAACUGUUUAGAACUUUCGCUGAACAGAUUUUCCACACGGGAUUUGUUCACGCUGAUCCUCAUCCAGGAAACGUUCUUGUUCGCAAGGGGAAAGACAAGAAAGCAGAACUAGUAUUGUUGGACCACGGCCUCUAUGAAGACGUACCAAGCACAGUUCGCAAAUCACUGUGCAGCUUAUGGAAGUCAAUUAUCCUCAAUGACCAUAACUCCAUGAAGAAGUACUCUAUGGAACUGGGUGUCGAUGAAUGCGACUACCGUCUGUUCUGUGUAGCCCUCGUGCAACGGUACAUACCCGAUCCGAACGAGCCAGGCAAAGACAUUUUCAAGUUGCUAUUCAAGCAUCGCGGUGGCUCAGGCAUAUUUCGCGGCCGAUCCGAAGCUGAGAAAGAAAGCAUACGUCAGCAGAUCAUGGACGUGCAUGAUCGCAUGCUGGUCGUGUUUCGAGCCAUGCCAAGCAAACUCAUGCUUGUCACUAGAUUACAUGAUGUUCGCCGAGAUGUUGACCCAGUGUCCGCUGCGGAGCAAUAGAUGGCGUUUGUCACUAGCCCUCAACCAGGACGAACUCAAGUACUUGGGCAAAGCCGCUCAGAAUCACUUUGAUCAAGUCACAGCUGUGCUUAAAGUCAUGCCCAAACGUCUCAUACUUGUCAUUCGGAAUAUCAAUACGAUUCGUUCAAUAGCUCGAGGCCAUGGUGACCCGGUGGAUCGGUACAUGGUGAUGGCGAGGAGCGCCACUCAGGGAGUCUUCUUCACUCAAGGCCAGAGUCGGCUCGCUCUCAGGCCCUACUUGGCUCGGAUGCAAUUCGAGAUGAUACUGUGGUGGAGUUACUUCAGAACAAAGUUCUAUGGUUUUGUAUUGGAUGCAGUUUCUUUAGUAAUGAGGAAUGAUUUUGCGAAAAUCAGAUCACAACUAUGUUAGAUGGUGAAUGCGAUUCCUACAAGUUUCCAACUUGUUGACUA